UACGGAGGGGGCCAGCGUUGUUCGGAAUCAUUGGGCGUAAAGGGCGCGUAGGCGGCCACGCAAGUCGGAUGUGAAAUCCCUCGGCUCAACCGAGGAACUGCACCCGAAACUGCGAGGCUCGAGUCCUGGAGAGGGUAGUGGAAUUCCACGUGUAGCGGUGAAAUGCGUAGAGAUGUGGAGGAACACCAGUGGCGAAGGCGACUCUUUGGCCUGUAACUGACACUGAGGCGCGAAAGCGUGGGGAGCAAACAGG
RNAcentral lists this ribosomal RNA (253 nucleotides) under uncultured bacterium. RNAcentral's name for it is "partial 16S ribosomal RNA". It matches the Rfam family "Bacterial small subunit ribosomal RNA", at positions 524 to 776 of the family's 1533-position model. The record is from RNAcentral.